GACGAACGCUGGCGGCGUGCUUAACACAUGCAAGUCGAACGGAAAGGCCCUGCUUGCAGGGUACUCGAGUGGCGAACGGGUGAGUAACACGUGGGUGAUCUGCCCUGCACUUCGGGAUAAGCUUGGGAAACUGGGCCUAAUACCGGAUAGGAGCCAUCUUUAGUGUGGUGGUUGGAAAGUUUUUUCGGUGUAGGAUGAGCUCGCGGCCUAUCAGCUUGUUGGUGGGGUAAUGGCCUACCAAGGCGGCGACGGGUAGCCGGCCUGAGAGGGUGUACGGCCACAUUGGGACUGAGAUACGGCCCAGACUCCUACGGGAGGCAGCAGUGGGGAAUAUUGCACAAUGGGCGCAAGCCUGAUGCAGCGACGCCGCGUGGGGGAUGAAGGCCUUCGGGUUGUAAACUCCUUUCGCUAGGGACGAAGCUUUUUUGUGACGGUACCUAGAUAAGAAGCACCGGCUAACUACGUG
RNAcentral lists this ribosomal RNA (466 nucleotides) under uncultured bacterium. RNAcentral's name for it is "partial 16S ribosomal RNA". It matches the Rfam family "Bacterial small subunit ribosomal RNA", at positions 28 to 507 of the family's 1533-position model. The record is from RNAcentral.